GAAAAAUCCCCCCAAAAAACACAAAAAAUGAAAAAACAAAGAAAAAGAGAAAAAACGACCCCAAAAAAAUCAAAACAA
This 78-nucleotide non-coding RNA is filed under the name Crypthecodinium cohnii. The record is from RNAcentral. Lineage: Eukaryota; Dinophyceae; Gonyaulacales; Crypthecodiniaceae.